AUUUGGAAAGAAUUUUCAGCUUAUUGAUGCUUGAUUCAUUCUUCAGUAGCUGUACAACUGUGCCUCUGUUACAUUUUAACAGUUUAAUACUUUAACUGGCCCCAGCCAUCUGCUCUGGGUUUGGUACUUAAAGAAGCUCCUCAGAUAACACAUUAUCCAUCAUGAGCUACAUACUGAUACAAUAGAUAGAACACUAAGAGACUGUACCGGAAUAAAAUAAGACAUUUAUGCCAGAAUUCUUGGCUAUAUGAUAUCUUAAUACUUUAUCAGGGGUAUAAAACUAAACAUUAAAAGUACUUAAAUGCUCAGCUGAAACCAGACUCCAACUUGAAAAGGCAGUGUGUUAUCAUGGAAAGAUUGCUAGGCUUAAAGUCAGGCAAGAUCUAGUUGUGAAUCCUGCUUCUGACUUAAUACUAAUAGUAUGACCUCAAAUGAAUCUGUUUUUCUCAUUCAUAGUAUAAAGGUAAUUGUAUCAACUUCAUAGGGCUGUUAUAAUGAGUGGCUGAAAAUAAUUAUAUAUAAAGCACCUUGCAAAUCUUAAAAGUAUUAUAUAAAAGCAAGCUACUAAAAUGCUAUUGAUGUAAGUUGGAAUUGUAGAAAUGACACAAAUUCCUGAGAGGAUGCCCAUUUUUCAUAAAAGCAAAAUUGAUGUAUCAACUGAAUGUUAAUUGUCACAGCAUAAAAAAGAUUAGGUCAUAUAUUGUUCAUAACUAUAGCUAGGAAAAGAAUUAAAGGACAGAGAAAUAAAGAUUAGGAAGCAGAGUCAAGAUGGUGAAGAAAAGACAGCAAUGUGCCAGAGCUCUCCCCAAAUCCUGCGCCCCUAAAUAUAAUGUCAAAACAAUUCCAGAAACAGAAUUCACAUAAAGAUGAGGUGAAAUAAUUUUCUAGCCAAAGACUACUUAGAAGGUCAGCAGGAAAGAUCGAUCCCACCUGGCUGAGAGUGGAGCAAAAUCCAGUGCUAGCUGUGCCGGCACAAUCCCAACCCCUUCCCUAGCAAGCUAGGAGUAGGUCUUGGUAGCUGCUUAAUCAGCAGUAGCAAUGGUUCCAGAGCUCUCAGCCUACAGAUAGUAAAGUCAAACAAUUGGUCAGAAGGAGAUAAUGGGUCUUUUUUCUGGCCCUGACACAGGACUCUUGUUUUGCCCAUAAUUCUAUGAGAAUCACGUGCACUAGCACACCAGAGCUUGUGACCAUAGUAGAGCAAGGACCCUCAUCACAGUUUCAUGAUGGAAAAGAAUGCUUGUGGUCACAGAUCAGAGCACAGGCCAGAAAAUUAGCAAACAUUUCUCCUAUCACACCACCUUGGAAGAAAAGUCUAAUAAUAGACUGGGAAAAUGAGCAAACAGAAGAAAAUAAUGAUCAUAGAAAAUUACCAUGAUGACAAGGAAGAUCAAAACACUCAGAAGAAAAUAACAGUCAAAGCUACAUCUAAAGCCUCCUAAAGCCUCCCAAGAAAAUUAGGGAUUGGUCUCAGAUCAUAGAAAAGCUCACAAAGGAUUUUGAGUCAUGUAAGAGGUAGAGGAAAAAAAGAGAGGUAGAGGAAGAGAAAUGAAAGUGAUGUGUGAAAAAGUCAUGAAAAAAAAAAAAAGACUUGCUUUGUAAAGGAGAUGCAAAAAAUACAGAAGAAAAUAACGCCUUUAAAAACAGACUAGGCCAAAUAUUAAAGGAAGUACCAAAAAAGCCAAUUUGGAGAAUUCCUUAAAAAACAACUAGCAAGGGGCAGCUAGGUGGCGCAGUGGAUAGAACACCAGCCCUGAGGUCUGGCCUGAGUUCAAAUUUGCCCUCAAGACACUUAACAAGUCCUAGCUGUGUGAUCUUGGGCAAGUCACUUAACCCCAAUUGCCCCAGCAAAAAAAAAAAAAUAAAAUAAAACUGGCAAAAUGGAAAGAGGCACAACAAUUCACUGAAGGAAAAAACUCACAAAGUAGAAUUGGCUAAAUGGAAAAGGAGAUACAAAGACUCGCUGAAGAAAAGAAUUCCUUAAAAAUUACAAUUGAGCAAAUGGGAAGUUAAUGACAUUAUGAGAAAUAAAUACUAAAAAUCAAAAGAUUUUUAAAAACCCUAAAAUGUCUCAAUGAUUUUUUUUUAAAUUGACUUGAAAAAUAAUCUGGGAGAUAAUUUUAAAAUUAUUGGACUAUCUAAAAGCCAUUAUUUAAAAAAACAAACAAACCAAAAAACCCAAACCAAGACAUCUUCCAAGAAAUUAUCAGGGAAAACUGUCCUGAUAGUCUAAAACCAUUUGGUAAAAUGGAAAUUGAAAGAAUUCACCAAUUACUUGCUGAAAGAGAUCCCAUAAAGAAGGGAAUAUUGCAAGUAGCCAAAAAGAAACAAUUCAAUUAUCAUGGAGCCCCAGUCAGGAUAACGCAUGGUUUACAUUAAAGGAUCAGAGGGCUAGAAAUAUACCCAG
Molecule: long non-coding RNA, 2404 nt
Organism: Sarcophilus harrisii (Tasmanian devil)
Lineage: Eukaryota; Metazoa; Chordata; Mammalia; Dasyuromorphia; Dasyuridae
Source: Ensembl